This 219-nucleotide ribosomal RNA is filed under the name Veillonella magna. RNAcentral describes it as "partial 16S ribosomal RNA". It matches the Rfam family "Bacterial small subunit ribosomal RNA", at positions 29 to 225 of the family's 1533-position model. Lineage: Bacteria; Bacillati; Bacillota; Negativicutes; Veillonellales; Veillonellaceae. The record is from RNAcentral.
ACGAACGCUGGCGGCGUGCUUAACACAUGCAAGUCGAACGGAGAGACAUGGAAGCUUGCUUCUAUGAAUCUUAGUGGCGAACGGGUGAGUAACGCGUAAUCAACCUGCCUUUCAGAGGGGGAUAACAACGGGAAACCGUUGCUAAUACCGCGUACGAUAUGCUUUCGGCAUCGAGAGUAUAUGAAAGGUGGCCUCUAUAUAUAAGCUAUCGCUGAAGGA